RNAcentral lists this ribosomal RNA (455 nucleotides) under uncultured Sphingobacteriales bacterium. RNAcentral's name for it is "bacterial SSU rRNA". It matches the Rfam family "Bacterial small subunit ribosomal RNA", at positions 925 to 1382 of the family's 1533-position model. Lineage: Bacteria; Pseudomonadati; Bacteroidota; Sphingobacteriia; Sphingobacteriales. The record is from RNAcentral.
ACAAGCGGUGGAGCAUGUGGUUUAAUUCGAUGAUACGCGAGGAACCGUUACCUGGGCUCAAAUGUAUGUUGACGUAUUCUGAAAGGGAUACUUCUUCGGACAAUAUACAAGGUGCUGCAUGGUUGUCGUCAGCUCGUGCCGUGAGGUGUCGGGUUAAGUCCCAUAACGAGCGCAACCCUAUCAUUAGUUGCCAUCAGGUCAAGCUGGGGACUCUAAUGAAACUGCCUACGCAAGUAGUGAGGAAGGUGGGGAUGACGUCAAAUCAGCACGGCCCUUACGUCCAGGGCUACACACGUGCUACAAUGGCCGGUACAAAGGGCAGCUACCUGGUGACAGGAUGCUAAUCUCAAAAGCCGGUCUCAGUUCGGAUCGGAGUCUGCAACCCGACUCCGUGAAGCUGGAACCGCUAGUAAUCGCGCAUCAGCCAUGGCGCGGUGAAUACGUUCCCGGGCCUU